Molecule: long non-coding RNA, 1004 nt
Filed under: Aquilegia coerulea
Lineage: Eukaryota; Viridiplantae; Streptophyta; Magnoliopsida; Ranunculales; Ranunculaceae
Description: long non-coding RNA (ACOE_LNC000036)
Source: RNAcentral
CAAACUUGUUUCUGUAGCUGCCCACUUCCAGCACUCUCUUUCUUCUAUGUCUCAUUGUUGUACACUGACAAGUUGUGUGCUCUGAUUCCUCCCACUCUCUACGUGUUCUCCUGAGGUUUAUGUUGUUUAAUAGCUUGUAAUUGGAGUUUUCUAAAACCCACUUAUCAGACAAUUUUUGUGGAGCAGACAUUCAUGUCAUGUCGAUCCAUUGUAAGGGUUCUAGUAGAUCUUCAUAGAAGACAGAGAAAACUUGUGGAAACAAUAAGGAAAAAGAACUUGUGACGUCUUACCUGACUUCUUUCAACACUGCUGCAUGUUAUUUGUGUCGUGCAUUUCUAAAAAUUGUCUUGAAUUGUGGGGGUAGUUGAUGUAUUGAGGUUUAGGUUUUAUUCAAACUUUAAUGGCAUCAAUGCUAGCUUUCCAUCUCUAUCUAUACAUCCUACUAUUCUUGAAUCAUUAUAUGUUUAACUUCAACUGAUAACGAUUUUGAUACUCUUAAACAGGAUUGCCAAAAGCCCAGCAGUUAUUGCUUCAACCUCAGGAAAGGCAAUAUCUACUCAGUCAAGUUAAUGCAGUGAAAGGUGAUAAUUGAAGAACAUCUUUUCUUUCCAACAGCUGAUCUUUAUUCUAUUUAGAAUUUGUGCAUAAGGGAGCCUUUGAUUGGAAAUUGUACUAUUCAUUCAGUCUAAGACAGGUCUUGUUAAAUAGUUUUGAUACGAUAUUGAGUUUUCUUUAGUACGUUUCAUGUGGCAGAAUUUUUGUCUGGCGUUUCAACAUAAUACAGUCGUAUAACCAUGUGGGGGUAGGGUUAUAGUUAUCAUUAGCAUGAUUAUUUCCUGACUCUGACUUCUCCAAAAUAAAGGAUUUUCCCAGUUUUUUCUUUCUUUUUUAUACUCGAUUAAGAUUUACUGAAAUAGGUUUGCCAUGAAACUUCUAACACACAUACGAUGAAUUGUAGAAGAACUCUGAUCAAAGAGGAAAAGGCUGUUAAAGAAAGAUAUUGC